Long non-coding RNA from Prunus persica (peach), 1515 nucleotides. RefSeq lists it as uncharacterized. The transcript is spliced from 2 exons. Lineage: Eukaryota; Viridiplantae; Streptophyta; Magnoliopsida; Rosales; Rosaceae. The record is from RefSeq and is a predicted model, not a curated record.
UUGUUCAAAACUCUUCGCGAAUCUCUGCCUCCGUCUCACUCUCGAGUCUGAGGAGUUACCAGCUUAAGCUCUACGGCCUCAUUCAGUGAAAGAACCGAAGAGGGCCCUAGUCCUUGUUAAAGCUUUUGCAUUGCGACUUUCGCAACCUCUUCUAAAUCAAACAGCACUGGGGUUUGAUCUAUAAGCCUCAGUGAUGGGUCGUAAGAAAAGGCGUGGGUUACAUUCUAAUAUUGAAUGCCAGCCUAGACUGCUCCCAACAUAUUGCAACAGUGACUUAGCUGCCAUCCAAUUUCCAGCAUUGAUAAAAAAUCUUUCUGCUGAUCCAUCUCGAUGAUAUGAUUGCCAUUCUUCUUAUGUGGAUUUAGCUUUCGAUUGUGAUUUUUGUUGUUGUUGAGAAAGGAGCUUGACCUAUAUAAGUUAUGGAAAACACUUUAUAAUCCACGUAUUUUUUUUUUCCCAAAUUCUGUCGUAUGGGUCGAAAACCAUGUAUUUUAGGUUGUCUUUUGAUUGUGGGUAACUAUUAUGUUUCCCCUGGUCCAUUUUGUGUAACAAAAUUUGUGUAUAUGUUUUGGGAAAAUCAAUGCUGGAUGGGUUUUGUGUAAUGGGCUGCUAAGUUUUUGCGGUUUUGGUUGUUUGGUAGUGGCUUUUCAUGUUACUAGUGUUUUAAAUAUAGUGUUCAUGGAUGCCAGCCCUUAAUUUUUGUGACAGGUUUUGGCCUUAAUUUUUGGCUUGAGUUGAUCGUUAACUUGUUCUGUUCUUGGUUAUGUUGUGCAUCUAUUUUGUUGAUGUGUUUAGUUAAUCUCUUACUCAUAUGUGUUUGUGUGUGUGUUCUCUUUUGGUAGGAAGAAUCUGUGCAAGUCCCAAAAGUUCCAGUGCAAAGUUAAUUUUUCCCCUUUUAGUUUGAAGAGAAUGUCUGCUUGUUUGUCUGUUUUUUAGUUCUAGCAAGAUUCUAUUUGCCCCCUCCUGUACAGUUAAUCCCCACUUUCCCACCCUUGAAUUCAUUUUCUUCGUCCAUAUUUGAUUUCUGCAUCAAUUGUACACAAGCAUGGCUAGAUUUAAGCAUCUUUGUUUGGUUCAACAGGCACUAGGGCCCUCUUGCCAUGUUAUAAUGGUUGAUUACUUGUUCAUCUGACCAUACCUUUGAAUUAACUAUGUCGAAAGGUUUUGCAUAUUGUACCUUUUGUAGUAGGAGGAUUAGCCAUAAUCAGCUCAUACGUCUAUUCAUUCAUUUUAUGACAAGGUACAUAUGGUCUGGUAUAAAUAGAAAACACUAUUGUUUGGAUAAAUUUGAGUAUUCUCAGCUCUGGCAACUUCUUUGACUUGCUCUGAAUUGGGUAAAUAGAAAAGAAUGUCACUUUAUCUGGCUGCAGGUAGAAGUGCAUAUUAGCAAUGCACCUAGAGUGAUAUGUUGUAUUGCUUUACUUAUUAUAGAAAAAAUAAGGAAAGAUUGUAUUGUUUGCUGAAAAUGUAUAAUAAAAUGACAAUGCAUUACUAAAAAAAGACAGUAUUCAAUUA